CUUUCGAUAGGCGUCGACCGGCGCACGGGUGAGUAACGCGUAUCCAACCUGCCCAUAACUAAGGGAUAAUCCGUAGAAAUGCGGUCUAAUACCUUAUGUGAUCCGAGGAAGACAUCUGAUUUGGAUUAAAGAUUUAUCGGUUAUGGAUGGGGAUGCGUCUGAUUAGAUUGUUGGCGGGGCAACGGCCCACCAAGUCUGCGAUCAGUAGAGGUUCUGAGAGGAAGGUCCCCCACAUUGGAACUGAGACACGGUCCAAACUCCUACGGGAGGCAGCAGUGAGGAAUAUUGGUCAAUGGGCGGAAGCCUGAACCAGCCAAGUAGCGUGCAGGAUGACGGCCCUAUGGGUUGUAAACUGCUUUUGCAGGGGGAUAAAGUGAGUCACGUGUGACUUAUUGCAGGUACCCUGCGAAUAAGGACCGGCUAAUUCCGUGCCAGCAGCCGCGGUAAUACGGAAGGUCCGGGCGUUAUCCGGAUUUAUUGGGUUUAAAGGGAGCGUAGGCCGUGGAUUAAGUGUGUUGUGAAAUGUAGGCGCUCAACGUCUGACUUGCAGCGCAUACUGGUCCACUUGAGUGCGCGCAACGCGGGCGGAAUUUGUCGUGCAGCGGUGAAAUGCUUAGAUAUGACGAAGGACCCCGAUUGCGAAGGCAGCUCGCGGGAGCGCAACUGACGCUGAAGCUCGAAAGUGCGGGUAUCGAACAGGAUUAGAUACCCUGGUAGUCCGCACGGUAAACGAUGGAUGCCCGCUUUUCGGUCAUUAGACCGUGAGGCCAAGUGAAAACAUUAAGCAUCCCACCUGGGGA
This 800-nucleotide ribosomal RNA is filed under the name uncultured rumen bacterium. Its description in RNAcentral is "bacterial SSU rRNA". It matches the Rfam family "Bacterial small subunit ribosomal RNA", at positions 78 to 879 of the family's 1533-position model. The record is from RNAcentral.